RNAcentral lists this transfer RNA (71 nucleotides) under Muraenesox bagio (common pike conger). Its description in RNAcentral is "tRNA-Gln". It matches the Rfam family "tRNA". Rfam says of the family: Transfer RNA (tRNA) molecules are approximately 80 nucleotides in length. Their secondary structure includes four short double-helical elements and three loops (D, anti-codon, and T loops). The record is from RNAcentral. Lineage: Eukaryota; Metazoa; Chordata; Actinopteri; Anguilliformes; Muraenesocidae.
UAGGAAGUAGUGUAAUGGGAGCACUAAGAGUUUUGAUCUCUUAAGAAUAGGUUCGAAUCCUUUUUUUCUAG